CGCCGCUGCUAAAGCGGAGGAAGGAGCGGGCUACGGUAGGUCAGUAUGCCCCGAAUCUUCCGGGCUACACGCGGGCUACAAUGGUUGGGACAAUGGGUUCCUACACCGAAAGGUGAUGGUAAUCUCCUAAACCCAGCCUUAGUUCGGAUUGAGGGCUGCAACUCGCCCUCAUGAAGCCGGAAUCCGUAGUAAUCGCGUAUCAAUAUCACGCGGUGAAUACGUCCCUGCCCCUUGCACAAAAUGUAAACUGUCCCUGCUCC
This 260-nucleotide ribosomal RNA is filed under the name uncultured archaeon. RNAcentral describes it as "partial 16S ribosomal RNA". It matches the Rfam family "Archaeal small subunit ribosomal RNA", at positions 1106 to 1343 of the family's 1478-position model. The record is from RNAcentral.